AAUUAGCCGAUGAUGUCAUACUGUAUUCUACACUCAUGGGAGCGUACAAAGACGUAACUGUUUAAGGUGAACGCAAACAUGAAAAUAUUCUCGCUAUUCAACUUGGAAAAGUUGUGAGAACACUGUUGCUAGGCAACUGGAAAAGAUAGACACAGCGCACACGUUAUCUCACGACCGAAACUAAGAAUUUAACUAGAAAAGAAUCAUCACACAGACAUUUCCCUCAGGUGUGUGGGUACAUUUAUUAAUGAAGGGGUGUGUGAGAGUGUGUGUGAGAGUGUGUGUGAGAGUGUGUGUGAGAGUGUGUGUGUGAGUCUGUGUGUGUGAGCAGUGUGUGUGAGAGUGUGUGUGUGAGAGUGUGUGUGAGUGUGUGUGAGUGUGUGAGAGUGUUGUGUGAGAGUGUGUGUGUGAGAGUGUGUGUGUGAGACUGUGUGUGUGAGACUGUGUGUGUGAGACUGUGUGUGUGAGAGUGUGUCUGAGAGUGUUGUGUGAGAGUGUGUGUGAGAGUGUGUGUGAGAGUGUGUGUGAGAGUGUGUGUGACUGUGUGUGUGAGACUGUGUGUGUGAGACUGUGUGUGUGAGAGUGUGUGUGAGUGUGUGUGUGACUGUGUGUGUGAGACUGUGUGUGUGAGACUGUGUGUGUGAGAGUGUGUGUGAGAGUGUGUGUGUGAGAGUGUGUGUGAGAGUGUGUGUGUGACUGUGUGUGUGAGAGUGUGUGUGAGACUGUGUGUGUGAGAGUGUGUGUGAGAGUGUGUGUGUGUGUGUGUGUGUGUGUGAGAGUGUGUGAGAACAUAUUCACUGGUGUGAAAUGAUGUAAAAGUCAUGAAGGACGGAACACACUGUGGUUUUCUGUGGGAUGCUGCGUCAGCUCUGCCGCUGUGCCUGAUGCAUUAAAGACCUGAUUUAUUAUUUCUGAAUGAACGGAACGUUGCAGGCUGAUGAACAGAAGACGGAUGCAGCUGGACCCCGAGUCGAAUGCUGUAAGAUUCAUGAAGAGAUCUCUUUAAGCGCUGCGUGAACAUGUUCAUGUAGACCCGAAUCCUUGUGUUUUUUAAUCUGAUAUAAAACGCUUCAUUCGAAGACGCGGUGUUGUCUGAUUUAUUGGUGACGCUGUUACUCGUUUAGCGUGUACUUAAAGUCGUCCUGGGUUAAUAGAAGAAACAAAUAAACAAACUAACGUAUUAUAGUUAAGAACUAUGUUAUAUAUUAUAGUUUAAAAAAUCUUUAUUUCAAUUUUUAACGGUUUCUUUUUUAACGGCACGACAAAAAACGUAAAAUAAAUAAUAUUUUACAUCCAUUUUAUACUUUAUAUCUUAUAUUAAUGAUGUUACUGGGC
This is a long non-coding RNA of Ictalurus punctatus (channel catfish), 1335 nucleotides long. Lineage: Eukaryota; Metazoa; Chordata; Actinopteri; Siluriformes; Ictaluridae. The record is from Ensembl.